RNAcentral lists this ribosomal RNA (483 nucleotides) under uncultured bacterium. RNAcentral's name for it is "partial 16S ribosomal RNA". It matches the Rfam family "Bacterial small subunit ribosomal RNA", at positions 28 to 507 of the family's 1533-position model. The record is from RNAcentral.
GACGAACGCUGGCGGCGUGCUUAACACAUGCAAGUCGAACGCUGAAGCUCAGCUUUUGUUGGGUGGAUGAGUGGCGAACGGGUGAGUAACACGUGAGUAACCUGCCCCCUUCUUUGGGAUAACGCCCGGAAACGGGUGCUAAUACUGGAUAUUCACUGGUCUUCGCAUGGGGGUUGGUGGAAAGGGUUUUUCUGGUGGGGGAUGGGCUCGCGGCCUAUCAGCUUGUUGGUGGGGUGAUGGCCUACCAAGGCUUUGACGGGUAGCCGGCCUGAGAGGGUGACCGGUCACAGUGGGACUGAGAUACGGCCCAGACUCAUACGGGAGGCAGCAGUGGGGAAUAUUGCACAAUGGGCGCAAGCCUGAUGCAGCGACGCCGCGUGAGGGAUGGAGGCCUUCGGGUUGUGAACCUCUUUCGCUCAUGGUCAAGCCGCAACAAUGGUUGUGGUGAGGGUAGUGGGUAAAGAAGCGCCGGCUAACUACGUG